GCCGGGGGGGCGGGGAGGGGUGGGGGUGAGGGCGCAGGGGAGGGGGCGCGGCGGAACUCCCCGGACCAGCAACACAGCAAUCAAAAAAAAAAAAAAAAAAAAAGAAAAGAAAAAAGAAAACACCGCAAACAAUAAUAAUAAAUAACCCAAAUUAAGGGUCGGAGAGGCGUCCCACCUUGGUCACUCUUGGAAACCACCUCUUCCUCCCCUCCCCAAAUGCAAAACACAGGGGGUGAGGGUUAAAAAAAAAAAAAGAAGAAAAACAAAACAAAACAAAACAAGGAUAAAUUCUGCUCGGGAGGAGCAAAAGCGUCUGCGGAGGUCGGGACAGCCAGAGAGGGCUGGAGGGGAAGCCGGAGGUGGAAAGUUCUAACAAGAAGCCUCUUGCCCCAGCAGCCGCCGGGGCUGGGGAAUUCGCAGUGGGGACAUUCCUAUCUCCAUUUCCCUGGUGCCGCAGCCAGAAGCGACAGGAAGGAGGGAUUCAAAGACGGACCCGAUUUCCCCUCCCACCGCACCCCGCUUGCUCGCAGGAGAGAGGUCGGACGGGGGCUCCCUCCUGUCUCCAUUCAGCCCCCCAGACGCGGACCAGAGGGCAGGCCGAUGCCAUCCUCACCCCCAGGCCCUGGCUAAAGGCAGGACUCUGUCAAAGUGCCUGUCCCCUCCCACCUUGGAGUCCUCUAAAAAUGGAGAAGAACCCCAACCUGAGAGAGCCCGGCCCCUUGGUCCCAGCCGCGCCUGGUGUCCGCGGGCCUGCUCCGGAGCCGGGGAGCCUGGAGCGGGAACGCCCGCAGCCUGUUGUCAUCUGUCAUCUGUUAUCCUCGGAGCCGCCUAGUGGCCUGCCCGGGACACUGCGCCUCCAGGCCGCCCCCGCCGCUGCCUCGUCGGUCCCUGCUCGCUCACCAGCUCUCCUUUCCCUUCCAGACCUUUCUCCCGCGUGGGGGCAACACCCCAAGCCUCCCGGGCCGAGAAGGUCAUCUAGCCCCACCUCGGCACAUGCAUUAAGCCCCUCGUAAGCACAGUGGCACGUUUGCCUGUGUCCCCUGGUGCCCAACCUGCUACCCGCCCCGUGCUGACGCCAGAGCCGCUGGGGGACCCGUGGGUCCUGCUUACGUGUCCCCUGCGUGUGUCUUUGGGUUGCAGAGCAGGCAGCGGGCCUUCAGGGUAGUGUUACACAUUAUUCUGAUUUAAGAAAUGAGACGGCUAGGGGCGCCUGGGGGGCGCCUGGGGGGCUCAGUCGGGUAAGUGUCUGCCUUUGGCUCAGGUUAUGAUCUCGGGGUUCGGGGAUCGAGUCCCGAGUCGGGCUCCCUGCUCAGGGAGGGAGCCUGCCUCUCCCUCUGCCUCUAUCCCUCCCCUCGUGCUUGUGUUCUCUCUCUCUCUCUCAAAUAAAUAAAUAAAAUCUUAAAAAAAUAAAAAUAAA
Molecule: long non-coding RNA, 1417 nt
Filed under: Canis lupus dingo (dingo)
Lineage: Eukaryota; Metazoa; Chordata; Mammalia; Carnivora; Canidae
Description: lncRNA (ENSCAFG00020004695.1)
Source: RNAcentral